CCCAAGAAGUAUUUCGUUGUUGGAUAAUAAUAAGCUCUGAACAAUACCUAGACAGCACUUUGAACAUGUUGUAUAUUACCGUAGACAACGCUGUAUUUUUCACGUGUCGGGGAAAUGCUACCGCCAUUGAUUGACAAAGCCUUCCGUCAAACAUAUGUUUGCCACCCUUUCGCUUUCAGCAUUUUUUCUGCCCAACCCAUUUGUAUAAAAUCGGAACGCCUCUAGUGUAAAAAUUAUUUAACACACCUGGAACAGUGCCGCAGCACACAGGACGAGGAGCACGGAAACCAUGGUCACCACAAGCGGGAAUUCUUAGCUUCCGUUCCUACGAGUCAGGCGCACCACCACAAUCACAGUCGAUCCUCCACCACCGCCGAGUUCCGUUGACAGGACAACGAAAACAACAGCUGAGCAUGAAAUCAAGCACUAGAAUCGCCACCCAUACGGCUGGUUAGCCCUUUUAUAGGGUGGAUCGCUUCUUCCGCCUCGGGCGCCGACCAUAUACUCGUCGCCAGCCGCAGUAAAGAAGGUGCCUGGUGGCUGGUGCAACUUGCUUCUUUUGUGAGCAUUAUAACGCACUUUUUCAGAAAGCCUAUAAUGGCCUAUUGACGGACAUAAAAAAAUAUAGGCUUGGUUAAAUCCCGAUGUUGGCUAAAGUCUUAGUAUUCUGAAAACUCUAAUUAAAAUUGUAUAUACAUUGAAUUACGCCAUCUGUCUUGGGGCUAUAGACUUUGCUGAGUAAUACUCCUCAUUUUAUUUCAUUUUGAAUAAUGCACAAUUAUCUAAACCACAAACUGUGAUUUUAUCGUUACUCUAUUAAUCCGGAGUGCAGUUCUGAAAAUUUAUCAUGUUGCGAGUAUAAACUUCUCUCCAGAAUCUAUGUACAAGUAGAUUGCCAACAACAUAAAUAUUAUUG
Paramacrobiotus metropolitanus is the source of this 916-nucleotide long non-coding RNA. RefSeq lists it as uncharacterized. The transcript is spliced from 2 exons. NCBI's taxonomy places the organism in Eukaryota, Metazoa, Tardigrada, Eutardigrada, Parachela, Macrobiotidae. The record is from RefSeq and is a predicted model, not a curated record.